Varroa destructor (honeybee mite) is the source of this 809-nucleotide long non-coding RNA. RefSeq lists it as uncharacterized. The record is from RefSeq and is a predicted model, not a curated record. Lineage: Eukaryota; Metazoa; Arthropoda; Arachnida; Mesostigmata; Varroidae.
GCAAAUAUGACGAAGUUAUGAUUAAUGCUCCGUACAAAAUCAAUGCGGCGUAUAGUUUCGAAAAAUAAUGCUUAAACAAGUGACUAGUGAUGGAAUAACGGCGGCUUAGUGGUUCGUCAACCUGACAUUGUAGAAGAAAAUUUUGUGGGCGAAAAAAUGUCUGGUGAUGGAUGGCGUAAAACAAGGUUGACAGGAAGGGUCGGAUGCGCGCACGCGGUUUGAUUAAGGUGAACACGCUAGUGAAAACGAAGAAAUCAAAACGCGUCAUGAGAAAUCACCGGAACGAACCCGACCACGUGGGAUGAAAGCGUCAGUGUAGAACGCAAUCACAUGGCACCACGAAAGGUUAUCGAAAGAAACUGGAUCAAAUGAGAAAAGAGCGCCUGCAAUCAAUAGAACCACAUAAAAUCAUUAAGAAUCUACCAAGACGCGCUAACGAAAUCGCAACGUAGCAAAAAGGAAAUCAGAGUCACUCAGGCACCAAAGUCUGACACCGACACCCGAUGAGGAUCCCAAAACGUAGGAAAGCUUGAUUACUCUCAUAAUAUACAGAGAAAAGGGGGAACGAAAAUUACAUUUGAGGGAAAUAAACUCGGAACAUUUUUGCGGAUACGGAUCGCGAUAGACGGAUACUACGAAGGUAGUUCUAGAAAGAUAGGAAUAUGGCGAUAAUAGAGCUGACAAACAAAAGAAGAAUGGGGAUUGGGGCCAAUAAGGAAUUGCAAACUCAAAUACUUGCACUAGAACAGAGUUCAUGAGGACGUAUCUAAAUAAAAAUGGAAUGAAGAGUGGAACAAUGCAAUUAGAAA